Molecule: ribosomal RNA, 253 nt
Filed under: uncultured bacterium
Lineage: Bacteria
Description: partial 16S ribosomal RNA
Rfam family: Bacterial small subunit ribosomal RNA
Source: RNAcentral
UACGUAGGGGGCUAGCGUUGUCCGGAAUCAUUGGGCGUAAAGCGCGCGUAGGCGGCCCUGUUAGUCCGCUGUAAAAGUCAAAGGCUCAACCUUUGAAUGCCGGUGGAUACUGCAGGGCUAGAGUCCGGAAGAGGCGAGUGGAAUUCCUGGUGUAGCGGUGGAAUGCGCAGAUAUCAGGAGGAACACCGGUGGCGAAGGCGGGUCUCUGGGCAACAACUGACGCUGAGGAGCGAAAGCGUGGGGAGCGAACAGG